CUGGGGAAGUUCAGACGCCUGUUCCCAUUUGGUGUUUGAUACGAUAAUGUGCUAGAGGAAACUGGAGAUAACAGGGCCAGCAGCCUUUCAGGACAGACUGAAUGGUAGUAUCAGUCUCUGACACCA
This is a small nucleolar RNA of Stegostoma tigrinum, 126 nucleotides long. RefSeq annotates it as small nucleolar RNA U109. NCBI's taxonomy places the organism in Eukaryota, Metazoa, Chordata, Chondrichthyes, Orectolobiformes, Stegostomatidae. The record is from RefSeq and is a predicted model, not a curated record. The transcript has a single exon.